UUUGUCCUGCAGCUGGAAUGCCAAGCCACAAAAGGGCAGUGAGAAAGCCAGGGCACCAGAAGGUAAUGGGGAGCAGGAUGUUUGAAGCCUCCGUGGGGCAAGAUCUGCAAAUGAGCUGA
Molecule: long non-coding RNA, 119 nt
Filed under: Rhinopithecus bieti (black snub-nosed monkey)
Lineage: Eukaryota; Metazoa; Chordata; Mammalia; Primates; Cercopithecidae
Description: lncRNA (ENSRBIG00000046748.1)
Source: RNAcentral